Magnolia sinica is the source of this 1398-nucleotide RNA transcript. It is a transcript of the gene named probable plastid-lipid-associated protein 10, chloroplastic, with no coding region annotated. The transcript is spliced from 9 exons. NCBI's taxonomy places the organism in Eukaryota, Viridiplantae, Streptophyta, Magnoliopsida, Magnoliales, Magnoliaceae. The record is from RefSeq and is a predicted model, not a curated record.
UAGGCACGCCUUCAUUAUCACACCGUGUAGUCACGCUAUCGCAGUCCGUUUUAAAGCUCACCCAAAAGCGAGAGAGAGAGAGAUGUACAUCUCAUUCUCAUUCGAAUGGAGUUGGCAUUUCCUCGUCUGCAAUUUUCCCUUCACCUCACCAGAGCCCCUCUCACUAGCAAGCGCCAUAUACAAGAAACGCCCAUCUGGUCAAGAAACCGAGGGUCACCGAAAACAUUUCGGUGUCUCGCGCAAGUGGCGGUGCACACAAAUCCAGUAGCGGCAGAGUUAGAGAGUAGAAAGCAUGAUCUCUUGAGAGCCGCUCAAGAGACGCAACGUGGCCUCAUUGCAACCUCUGAUCAGCGCGCGUCCAUUGAAGAAGCCCUGGUGUGCGUGGAGGGCUACGAUGCAGGUUCAGCAAUCGACCUCACGAAAUUGGAUGGGACAUGGCGCCUGCAUUACACUUCUGCUCCCGACGUUCUCGUUCUUCUCGAGUCGGCAGCGAGGCUUCCCUUCUUCUUUCAGGUGGGGCAAAUUUAUCAAAAAUUUGAAUGCCGGGAUCAAUCUGAUGGAGGCAUUGUACGUAAUGUUGUGCGUUGGAGCAUCCCAACCCUAUUAGAGGAACAGGAAGGUGCUACUUUGCUCGUUACAGCAAAAUUUUCUGUUGUUUCAAAGCGUAAUAUAUACCUGCAGUUUGAAGAGGUUGCAGUUGAAAAUAUCAAGAUCAGUGAAGAACUGCAAGCCUUGAUAGCUCCGGCAAUCCUACCUCGGUCGUUUUUAAGCCUACAGCCUUACUGGACCGGCUUAUUUUGGGUCACUGCCACACAUGGUGGAGCAUACCUGAUGAACUCGCCGGAUCUCGUGCACAUGUGACACAUCGGGGAGAGUCAGAUCUUGCAGUUUCUCCGAACUUUCAGAGCACAAGUUCCUGUGACUAACCCAGAGAGUUUGCAGAAUUUGAAACGUCCUAUUUAUGCAAAUUGAUGUGAGCAAUGAAGAACAAUACUGCAGCAGAUCGCCUGGGGGUUUGUAUUACCUUUCAUAUCUGGACCGCGACAUGCUUCUGGGUCGUGCUGUUGGAGGCGGAGGCUUGUUUGUGUUCACCAGGGCACAACCUCUCACAUGAUGAAGAGCUGAUUCUCAGUUGCCUAUUGGUAUGUAAAGCUGAUAUACUUCUGAAACGUGCAAAAAUGAGUUUUGACAGUGUAGUAUACAACCGAUCUCUUGUAAAGAGAGAGGAAAAAGGAAAAAACUGAGCACGUGCAUAAUGUAACCAUACUUAUGUUGGCACAAGCCAUCCGUGGACACAAAUGCAUGACUCUGCCGGAUUCUGUGUUGUUGUGGAACAGAUUGCUGUGGUUUUUUGUUGUAUAUUGCUACUGCGGCUUAUGGUGAUUUUAUGCUCUGACU